AGAAAGACUCUAAGCAUACUUGUAAUACACACACAAAAAGUAUAGAAAUACAAUUCUUUUUUCUUCUUUAUAAUGGUAUCAGAGCGUUUUCUUUUUCUCCGUUUCUCCCGAAGGUGAAUUGCCUUGGGAAAACCGUAUUAAAAAAAUUUGCAGAACCACAACCAAAUCCAAAACGUUCUGCCCGCCUAUCCUUCGUCGCUGAUGAACCACGACUCCAUUGCUGUGAGUUUUCAAUCAUCUUCUCCGUCGCGCCACCGGUGUCAAUCCGACUCCAUCGCCUCGAGCAAUCCCAAUCCCAUGUCCAUCCAGCAAUCCUACCUCGGCGUUGUCACCGUCGAAGGCCGCCAUAGUCAAAACUUGAACUUGGUCUUCUUUUGUUCCUAAUGUGGGCUGGUUUUAGAGAAGUAAAAGAGAGAAAAUAAUUCUUUCUAUUUCAAAAAGAGAAAAAAAAAAGGAUGACAACUAUUCAAAAAGAAAAUGCCCAACCAAUUUCAAUUAUACUUGAUGGGCAUAACUACAAUCGAUGGGCGACAGCUAUGCGGAGUUAUUUGAAAGGGAUGAAACUGUGGCUUGUUAUCACUAGAGACAGAACAACACCAGUCAAAUAGGCGGGAGAAACUGAUGAUAAGUAUGUCGGUCGACUCGAGUAAUGGGAAAGCAAGAAUCAUCAGAUUCUUACAAUGUUCACCAAUACUAUUGUUCCUUCAAUCAAUGUGCACUUUGGGCAUUUUCAACUUGCAAAAGAAGCUUAGGACUUUAUUGCCAUGCGGUAUGGUUCUACUACCCUCUCUCAUCAGUAUCAUCUUAUGACUACUUUAUCCCGACUUCGUCAAGAAUUUGAUCAAUUGGGCAAGGAAUCCUACAAAUCGUCGCUCUACCACUAGCUAUUGUUUCUUUCUUGGUUCAUCGCUUAUUUCUUGGCGAAGUAAAAAGCAAACUGUUGUCUCCCGCUCAAGCACUGAGGCUGAAUAUCGAGCUCUUGCUGAUGCAACAUCCAAACUACUAUGGUUAUGAUGGCUCCUUCAAGACAUGGGUGUUUUUCUCGUGAAAACACUCAUAUUCAUUGCGACAAUCAGAGUACUUUUCAGAGGGCUCAUAAUAAUGUCUUUCACGAACGCACUAAACAUAUUGAGAUCGACUGCCACUUCAUUCGUCAUCAUUUGCUCAGUAAAACUCUACAGCUUGUUCAUGUUGCCCCUACAUCCCAAAAGGCUGACAUCUUCACCAAGUCAAAUCCACCUAGUCAAUUUAUUGCUCAAGUUUCCAAACUCAAAUUGGCUUCUACAAUGCCAUCUUGAGUUUGAGGGGGGAUGGGUUAAUGCAAUAGUUGACUUUGGAUGUUUCCUGAUUGUGUAGUUAGUGUAAUGGUUGAUUUUGGAUGUUUCUUUUUCUAGUAUUCUGUAAUCUCUAUAUAAAGGCUCUAAGCAUACUUAUAAUACACACAAAAAAUAUAGAAAUACAAUUCUUUCUUCUUCUUUAUCAAUAAGCAUAAAGGCUCUCUCCUACGCGUGCAAGGGAUGCAAGUCAUGGACCGUCGAACCAAAGGACUAGAAAUUAAGCUUACAUUGAUUCUGAGUUAGUGGUUAUAUCUCCUUUGACCCAUAAAAGGGACCACUAUUUUUCAUACGAGGCCCCCCACCCACUUAAAGUAGACAAUUAAGCAAGAGUAGUAUUGUUGUGUGCCCUUAUUGCUAGUACGCCAUUGUAUCAUAUGAGCCAGAUGCCAAACAAACCUCAUGCACGUAUAGUAUUGAUGGGAAAUUUUGCAUUAAGGACAAUAUGUGAACACAGGCCUCAGC
Molecule: long non-coding RNA, 1799 nt
Organism: Morus notabilis
Lineage: Eukaryota; Viridiplantae; Streptophyta; Magnoliopsida; Rosales; Moraceae
Exons: 3
Source: RefSeq, a predicted model, not a curated record